This 253-nucleotide ribosomal RNA is filed under the name uncultured bacterium. RNAcentral describes it as "partial 16S ribosomal RNA". It matches the Rfam family "Bacterial small subunit ribosomal RNA", at positions 524 to 776 of the family's 1533-position model. The record is from RNAcentral.
UACGUAGGGUGCGAGCGUUAAUCGGAAUUACUGGGCGUAAAGCGUGCGCAGGCGGCUUUGCAAGACAGAUGUGAAAUCCCCGAGCUCAACUUGGGAACUGCAUUUGUGACUGCAAGGCUAGAGUACGGCAGAGGGGGAUGGAAUUCCGCGUGUAGCAGUGAAAUGCGUAGAUAUGCGGAGGAACACCAAUGGCGAAGGCAAUCCCCUGGGCCUGUACUGACGCUCAUGCACGAAAGCGUGGGGAGCAAACAGG